RNAcentral lists this ribosomal RNA (468 nucleotides) under uncultured bacterium. Its description in RNAcentral is "partial 16S ribosomal RNA". It matches the Rfam family "Bacterial small subunit ribosomal RNA", at positions 28 to 507 of the family's 1533-position model. The record is from RNAcentral.
GACGAACGCUGGCGGCGUGCUUAACACAUGCAAGUCGAACGGAAAGGCUCCAGCUUGCUGGAGUACUCGAGUGGCGAACGGGUGGGUAACACGUGGGUGAUCUGCCCUGCACUUCGGGAUAAGCCUGGGAAACUGGGUCUAAUACCGGAUAGGACCGCACUUUGGUGUGUGUGGUGGAAAGGUUUUUCUGGUGUGGGAUGAGCUCGCGGCCUAUCAGUUUGUUGGUGGGGUAAUGGCCUACCAAGACGGCGACGGGUAGCCGGCCUGAGAGGGUGGACGGCCACAUUGGGACUGAGAUACGGCCCAGACUCCUACGGGAGGCAGCAGUGGGGAAUAUUGCACAAUGGGGGAAACCCUGAUGCAGCGACGCCGCGUGGGGGAUGAAGGCCUUCGGGUUGUAAACUCCUUUCGCUAGGGACGAAGCUUUUUGUGACGGUACCUGGAGAAGAAGCACCGGCUAACUACGUG